RNAcentral lists this ribosomal RNA (404 nucleotides) under uncultured bacterium. RNAcentral's name for it is "bacterial SSU rRNA". It matches the Rfam family "Bacterial small subunit ribosomal RNA", at positions 371 to 774 of the family's 1533-position model. The record is from RNAcentral.
AUGGGAGAAAUCCUGAAGCAGCAACGCCGCGUGGAGGAUGAAGGGUCUAUGACUUGUAAACUCCUGUAAAGAAGGAAAAAAUUCCCAUUAGAUGGGAGAUGAUGGUACUUCUGGAGUAAGCCCCGGCUAACUACGUGCCAGCAGCCGCGGUAAUACGUAGGGGGCAAGCGUUGUCCGGAUUUACUGGGUGUAAAGGGUGCUCAGGCGGAUUUGUAAGUCAGAGGUGAAAUCUUACAGCUUAACUGUGAAACUGCCUUUGAUACUGCAAGCCUAGAGUAUGGAAGAGAGUGAUGGAAUAUCUGGUGGAGCAGUGAAAUGCGUAGAUAUCAGAUAGAACACCAAUGGCGAAGGCAGUCACUUGGUCCAUUACUGACGCUAAAGCACGAAAGCGUGGGUAGCAAACA